This 808-nucleotide long non-coding RNA is filed under the name Homo sapiens (human). RNAcentral's name for it is "long non-coding RNA NONHSAT194379.1". Lineage: Eukaryota; Metazoa; Chordata; Mammalia; Primates; Hominidae. The record is from RNAcentral.
UUUUUUUUUAAAGAUCAGAUGUAUUUGGAGAAAACAAAAAACCCACAACCCAAAGGAUGGGAUUUCACAUCUCAAGACAUCUCCCAGGUAAUAAGUCUACAGAUUACAAAUCAUUUUCAUAGAAAAUAUUUUUGUACAAAUUAUACAGGUAUUCAGGAGCUGGGUCAUUAAUCAAUCCCCAUUUCUAUUUUAACAGGGGGGCAAGGUAGGGGAGAGGGAAAAACAGUUUUGGAUACAACUAUUUGGAAGGAGAGUAGAUAUGAAGAGGGCAAACCCUAGUUUUUCAUUACCUACAAUCAAUGUUUUUUUUCUUUAAAAAAAAAUCUUUCAAUCUUCAGUAUCUCUUUAAAAGCCCACUUCUUACCUACUAGCCAAUCCACCCCAAUUACAUAAACCAACACCCCUGCAUGGCUGAACAGGGCCUAAUCUAGGACUGAUGGGAGAAGUGCUUGCAAACCAAGAUCAAGGUGUCAUUUCUCUGCUAAUACUGUCUACCAAGCUGAUCCCUACAAAAACGCACAUAAAAGCAGGCAAGUUUAGCUACUGUGUUGCAAGAGAAACCAGGACCUUGUUAAAUAGUUCUCUCCAUUACCAUUUAUUCUCUCAAGGGAAGCUUAAAAAAAAAAAAGAAAAAGAAAAAGAAAAAACAACGCAUUGGUCUGGCCACCUCAUAAAUCCCACAAGCAUUGGUGUGGCAUUUCAGUGGAGAAGGAAACUUGGGGUGGGGAAAAACCCAUUAAGGUUGUAAAAAAGGCUCCCAAUUUAACUGUCCCUGUCCCUAUUUAUCCACCUUUAUUCACCACCCAAG